This 253-nucleotide ribosomal RNA is filed under the name Lactonifactor longoviformis. RNAcentral's name for it is "partial 16S ribosomal RNA". It matches the Rfam family "Bacterial small subunit ribosomal RNA", at positions 524 to 776 of the family's 1533-position model. The record is from RNAcentral. Lineage: Bacteria; Bacillati; Bacillota; Clostridia; Eubacteriales; Clostridiaceae.
UACGUAAGGGGCAAGCGUUAUCCGGAUUUACUGGGUGUAAAGGGAGCGUAGACGGCAGUGCAAGUCUGAUGUGAAAGCCCGGGGCUCAACCCCGGGACUGCAUUGGAAACUGUGCAGCUAGAGUGUCGGAGAGGUAAGUGGAAUUCCUAGUGUAGCGGUGAAAUGCGUAGAUAUUAGGAGGAACACCAGUGGCGAAGGCGGCUUACUGGACGAUAACUGACGUUGAGGCUCGAAAGCGUGGGGAGCAAACAGG